GUUCCUUUGAGCUUUAAAUUGUAUAAAAGUACCAAACAGCAUAACUAAUUAAGCCCAGAAGCAGGGUUUAACUAACAGGCAAUGUCCAGAACAUGAGAAAAGCAGACAUGAACUGGCAGGAGGCAGGGAAGAGCAAAUGUAUCUGGGAACCUGUUUUGGUCCUGGCCUGGCCAACCUCGUGUGUUACUUUGAGCAAGUCCUUGGCGCUCUCUUCUCCAACUUCCUCCUUUCAUUCCUUUGUUUCCUUCAAGACUCGGGUCAGACGUCACCUGAUUCUGGAGUCUUCCCUCAUCCCAGCCUGGGUAAGAACCCUGGAAGGGUGUGCCCCUCCUCUGUGCUCUCACAGAGGAGCAUUGCGCUGCAGCGCUGCAGUCGUGUCUCCCUGACUGGACUGAUGUUCUUGAGGGCAGGAACUAUGUCUGACUCACUGCUGGAUUCCCAGAAUAUGGCCCAGGGUCUAGCACGUCAAAGGUGUGUUGAAUACAUUAGAAACAUUCUGCUGGGAAGUUUGUGUCCCAUGAACAAAGGAUCAGGACAAUCUUCAUCCCAAAGGACAGAAUCUGAGCUGGGGCCUCAAAAAAGCACAUCUCAGAAUCUGCAAGGGAAGAAUGGCUCUCGGACUCCAGAUUUCUCCCCCUAACUCCAGAAUAUAGAAGAUACGGCUGCUGAGAAGGGAGCCGAGCCCUGUUUACAGCAGCUGGGAGCCAUCCUCACGUUUGAUUGCCACAAUUUUUCUCCCUAAUCAUGCCUGAAAAAUAAAUUUCUU
RNAcentral lists this long non-coding RNA (766 nucleotides) under Equus caballus (horse). RNAcentral describes it as "lncRNA (ENSECAG00000049756.1)". The record is from RNAcentral. Lineage: Eukaryota; Metazoa; Chordata; Mammalia; Perissodactyla; Equidae.